Molecule: ribosomal RNA, 403 nt
Filed under: uncultured bacterium
Lineage: Bacteria
Description: bacterial SSU rRNA
Rfam family: Bacterial small subunit ribosomal RNA
Source: RNAcentral
UGGGGAAUCUUGCGCAAUGGAGGAAACUCUGACGCAGCAACGCCGCGUGUGUGAUGAAGGCCCGUGGGUCGUAAAGCACUGUCAGGAGGGAAGAAUUUUGACGGUACCUCCAAAGGAAGCACCGGCUAACUCCGUGCCAGCAGCCGCGGUAAUACGGAGGGUGCAAGCGUUGUUCGGAAUCAUUGGGCGUAAAGCGCGCGCAGGUGGCUUAUCAAGUCUGGUGUGAAAGCCCGGGGCUCAACCCCGGAACUGCAUUGGAAACUGAUAAGCUUGAGUCCGAGAGGGGCCUGUGGAAUUCCUGGUGUAGGGGUGAAAUCCGUAGAGAUCAGGAGGAACACCGGUGGCGAAGGCGACAGGCUGGAUCGGCACUGACACUGAGGCGCGAAAGUGUGGGGAGCAAACA